RNAcentral lists this unclassified non-coding RNA (413 nucleotides) under Hevea brasiliensis (rubber tree). The record is from RNAcentral. Lineage: Eukaryota; Viridiplantae; Streptophyta; Magnoliopsida; Malpighiales; Euphorbiaceae.
GAGAUAUGGAAGAUUAAAAAGCUUAUAAAAGCACUUGAAGCUGCUCGAGGCAAUGGCACAAGCAUGAUUUCUCUCAUCAUGCCGCCUCGUGAUCAGGUAUCCCGUGUUACUAAGAUGCUUGGUGAUGAGUUUGGAACUGCUUCAAACAUUAAAAGCAGGGUCAAUCGUCAGUCCGUGUUAGGUGCAAUUACUUCUGCUCAGCAAAGGCUCAAACUUUACAACAAGGUUCCUCCAAAUGGGCUUGUGCUUUACACUGGAACAAUUGUUACUGAAGACGGAAAGGAAAAGAAGGUUACAAUUGACUUUGAGCCUUUUAGGCCCAUAAAUGCAUCUCUUUACCUGUGUGACAACAAGUUUCAUACAGAAGCUCUAAAUGAGCUUUUGGAAUCUGAUGACAAGUUUGGCUUUAUUGU